This 1059-nucleotide ribosomal RNA is filed under the name uncultured Cryobacterium sp. RNAcentral describes it as "bacterial SSU rRNA". It matches the Rfam family "Bacterial small subunit ribosomal RNA", at positions 337 to 1394 of the family's 1533-position model. Lineage: Bacteria; Bacillati; Actinomycetota; Actinomycetes; Micrococcales; Microbacteriaceae. The record is from RNAcentral.
UCCUACGGGAGGCAGCAGUGGGGAAUAUUGCACAAUGGGCGCAAGCCUGAUGCAGCAACGCCGCGUGAGGGACGAAGGCCUUCGGGUUGUAAACCUCUUUUAGUAGGGAAGAAGCGACUGGGUUUUCCUGGGAGUGACGGUACCUGCAGAAAAAGCACCGGCUAACUACGUGCCAGCAGCCGCGGUAAUACGUAGGGUGCAAGCGUUGUCCGGAAUUAUUGGGCGUAAAGAGCUCGUAGGCGGUUUGUCGCGUCUGCUGUGAAAACCCGAGGCUCAACCUCGGGCCUGCAGUGGGUACGGGCAGACUAGAGUGCGGUAGGGGAGAUUGGAAUUCCUGGCGUAGCGGUGGAAUGCGCAGAUAUCAGGAGGAACACCAAUGGCGAAGGCAGAUCUCUGGGCCGUAACUGACGCUGAGGAGCGAAAGCAUGGGGAGCGAACAGGAUUAGAUACCCUGGUAGUCCAUGCCGUAAACGUUGGGAACUAGAUGUGGGGACCAUUCCACGGUCUCCGUGUCGCAGCUAACGCAUUAAGUUCCCCGCCUGGGGAGUACGGCCGCAAGGCUAAAACUCAAAGGAAUUGACGGGGGCCCGCACAAGCGGCGGAGCAUGCGGAUUAAUUCGAUGCAACGCGAAGAACCUUACCAAGGCUUGACAUAUACCGGAAACGGCUGGAAACAGUCGCCCCGCAAGGUCGGUAUACAGGUGGUGCAUGGUUGUCGUCAGCUCGUGUCGUGAGAUGUUGGGUUAAGUCCCGCAACGAGCGCAACCCUCGUCCUAUGUUGCCAGCACGUAAUGGUGGGAACUCAUGGGAUACUGCCGGGGUCAACUCGGAGGAAGGUGGGGAUGACGUCAAAUCAUCAUGCCCCUUAUGUCUUGGGCUUCACGCAUGCUACAAUGGCCGGUACAAAGGGCUGCGAUACCGCAAGGUGGAGCGAAUCCCAAAAAGCCGGUCUCAGUUCGGAUUGAGGUCUGCAACUCGACCUCAUGAAGUCGGAGUCGCUAGUAAUCGCAGAUCAGCAACGCUGCGGUGAAUACGUUCCCGGGCCUUGUACACACCGCC